UACGUAGGGUGCAAGCGUUGUCCGGAAUUAUUGGGCGUAAAGAGCUCGUAGGCGGUUUGUCGCGUCUGCUGUGAAAACUCGGGGCUCAACUCCGAGCUUGCAGUGGGUACGGGCAGACUAGAGUGCGGUAGGGGAGACUGGAAUUCCUGGUGUAGCGGUGGAAUGCGCAGAUAUCAGGAGGAACACCGGUGGCGAAGGCGGGUCCCUGGGCCGUAACUGACGCUGAGGAGCGAAAGCAUGGGGAGCGAACAGG
Molecule: ribosomal RNA, 253 nt
Filed under: uncultured bacterium
Lineage: Bacteria
Description: partial 16S ribosomal RNA
Rfam family: Bacterial small subunit ribosomal RNA
Source: RNAcentral